UACGUAGGGGGGCAAGCGUUGUCCGGAUUUAUUGGGCGUAAAGAGCGUGUAGGCGGCCAGACAGGUCUGCUGUGAAAACUCGAGGCUCAACCUCGAGACGCCGGUGGAAACCGUCUGGCUAGAGUCCGGAAGAGGAGAGUGGAAUUCCUGGUGUAGCGGUGAAAUGCGCAGAUAUCAGGAAGAACACCCGUGGCUAAGGCGGCUCUCUAGUACGGUACUGACGCUGAGACGCGAAAGCGUGGGGAGCGAACAGG
This 254-nucleotide ribosomal RNA is filed under the name uncultured bacterium. RNAcentral's name for it is "partial 16S ribosomal RNA". It matches the Rfam family "Bacterial small subunit ribosomal RNA", at positions 524 to 776 of the family's 1533-position model. The record is from RNAcentral.